Triticum aestivum (bread wheat) is the source of this 116-nucleotide non-coding RNA. NCBI's taxonomy places the organism in Eukaryota, Viridiplantae, Streptophyta, Magnoliopsida, Poales, Poaceae. The record is from Rfam.
GAUCUACUCCCUCCGUUCUGAAUUACUUGUCGUGGGUAUGGAUGUAUCUAGAUGUAUUUUAGUUCUAGAUACAUCCAUUUUUUGCGACGAGUAAUUUGGAACGGAGGGAGUAAUUU